Molecule: unclassified non-coding RNA, 1322 nt
Filed under: Octopus sinensis (East Asian common octopus)
Lineage: Eukaryota; Metazoa; Mollusca; Cephalopoda; Octopoda; Octopodidae
Description: zinc finger protein 184-like, transcript variant X3
Source: RNAcentral
GAAAAAUAUCCAUAUAUUUUGGUGAGAGGAGAGAAAUUUGUGAAAAGUUAUUGACGUGUAAAACUUUAAGGAUUGAUUUUAUUAUUCUUGAAGAGAUGUCUGAAGAAUUAGGAAAAUCCUCAUAUGACUGUGAUAUCUGCAAAGACUCAUUCUUAGAAGAAAGUAAAUUCAAUCAACACAAACAAAUUCAUACAAGGGAGAAACCAUAUCACUGUAGUAUCUGUGGUAAAUCAUUCUUAAGUAGCAGUCACUUAACACGACACAUACGUAUUCAUACAGGAGAGAAACCGUAUCCCUGUGAUGUAUGUGGUAAAUCAUUGUCUGAUAGGAAUAGUUUAACUCAACACAAACUUAUUCAUACAGGAGAGAAACCAUAUCACUGUAAUAUCUGUAGUAAAUCAUUGUCUGACAGGAGUAGCUUAGCUCGACAUAAACGUAUUCAUACAGGGGAGAAACCAUAUCACUGUGAUAUCUGUGAUAAAUCAUUCAGUCGAAGAGGUAGCUUAGCUACUCACAAACAGGUUCAUACAGGGGAGAAACGAUAUCCCUGUGAUAUCUGUGGUAAAUCAUUCUGUAAUGACAGUCACUUAACUCAACACCAACGUAUUCACUCAGGAGAAAAACCUUAUCCCUGUGAUAUCUGUGGUGAAUCAUUCUCUGUUGGCAGUAGCUUAACUCGUCAUAAACGUAUUCAUACAGGAGAGAAACCAUUUCCUUGUGAUAUAUGUGGUAAAUCUUUCCCUGAAAACUGUAGUUUAACUCAACACAGACGUAUUCAUACAGGGGAGAAACCAUAUCACUGUACUAUCUGUGGUAAAUCAUUCUCUAAUGACAGUCACUUAACUCGACAUAUACGUAUCCAUACAGGAGAAAAACCUUAUCCCUGCGAUAUCUGUGGUGAAUCGUUCUCUGUUGGCAGUAGCUUAACUCGUCAUAAACGUAUCCAUACAGGAGAGAAACCAUAUCAAUGUGAUUUAUGUGGUAAAUCCUUCACUGAAAAGAGUGGCUUAACUCAACACAAACGUAUUCAUACAGGGGAGAAACCAUAUUCCUGUGAUAUCUGUGGUGAAUCAUUCUAUCACAGAGGUAACUUUACUACUCACUCAAGGGUUCAUACAGGGGAGAAGCCAUAUCACUGUGACAUCUGUGAUAAAUCAUUCUCUGUUAGUAGUUGCCUAACUAGACACAAGCGUAUUCAUGCAGUGGAGAAAACCUCUCCGUGAUAUCAGUGGCAAAUUAUUCUAUCAAAGAAGUAACUUAACUACUCACACAUGGGUUCAUACAGAGGAGAAACCAUAUCAAUGUGAUAUCUGUGGUAAAUC